AAAAAAGGAAAUAUAUUAUACAUUUUAAUAUUUUAUCUCCAGUUUAGUAAAGUUUUUGUUAUGAGGAGCGCAAAUGAUAGAUCCAGUGGGAGGAUCAUAAUGUGCAAGGCUGCAAGGAAUAGUGAGCAGUAAGGAAGCUAAGACUUUUACUGGAAACCCACUAAAGGAGCUGGUGAGUGGCUGUAACUUUCUGGGCUGGUAACUAGACGGCCACUGGGAAAUGGAGGCAUCUGGAGAAACCCUGUUUUAUUUUAUUUGCCAUGUUUAUUCUCAUUUCUGCUCUAUCAUUACCUUACCUCUGAUUGUUUUGCUCUCUCCUUUGACUUUCUGUGUCCUACUUUACACUAGAGUUUAGGUUUAUUCAUAGUUUCUGCUUUCUCAUGAAUCCUUAAGAGAUCCAGUUCUAGUUCCCACUUGGUUAUAAAUAUUUAAAGCUCAGAUGCUUAUGAAUUGUCAGCCUGUCAUCCUGACUGGCUCUUUCCUAGGCUAGUCAGCUGGGGUUGGGAAUCAAGAGUAGCAGGCUCAGAAGACAGUGAAGUUUCCCUUAGGAGCCAAGGGAAGACGGGUUUAUUACAAUGGGAAAGCAUGUCUAAAACAACAUUAAAAUGUUUCCCUUUUCCUAGUACAAAGGCAAAAUUCUUAAUACAAAAAGAUACAUAAAAUUUAAUCAAGUUUACCAUUAAAAAUGUUGACUUUGGAUUUACUUUUAGAAAGGAAUUCUAAAUCUCGAAACUAAAUCUAUUUGUUUAUAUAUUUUUUCUUAUUCUGCCAAAAUCUUUCAAUCCUUAAUCUUUUUUUAAAUGAAAAUGAUUUAUUUUCUCUCUCCCAACUGUUGGUUAUUCCAUUUGUUAAUUAAUCCAUCCUUUGCUCACUGAUUUGUAAAUAUACCUUUAUCUUUCUUUGUCCUGAAACAUAGAUGCUAUAAAAUAAGAUUUAUAAGUGCAGCUACAUAAGUGAAGUACUUCAUGGCAAAAGCAUUGUAAAUAAAGUCAAAAGAAAAUGAGAGACUUGGAAAGUAUUUGCAACAUGUAUUACUUAGUGUUAGUCACCAUUAAUAUAUAAAAAUCUUCUAAAUAAAGAAAAUCAAAAGGACACAAUUUAAAAUGAGCAAUGGGCAUGAACAGAGAGAGCUCACAGAAAAACAAAUGAUACUUAUGAACGAAUGCUCAAGCUCAUUUAUAAGUUGUUUUAUUUGAGAACUUUGUUGGAAGGACUAUGAUCAUACUGGCAUUUAUAGAAUAUUUGUUACAGUACAAAAUAAUACUUAUGGAGGGCACUUUGGAGGUAUUUAUCAAAAUUAGAAUUGCCUUUAUUCUUCGAUCUAGUGAUCCUAUAUAUCUGCACAUGUGAAACAAAUGGCAUAUGUAACAUUGUAGACUGUUUUAUAAUAGUCAAACUUUGAAAAUAACCCAGGAGCUGUCAGUGUGAAACUGGAUAAACUGGUACAUUCACACAAUGGAAUACUAGGUUGCAGUAAAAACACAUGAGGAGCAGUCUCUGCAGUGACAUAUUAAGUGAAAAAGUGAAAUGUACAUGUUCACUUAUGUUAAAUAACAUUGAGAUUAUAUAAAAGUUGUUACCUGUAGAUGCUGGGUGUCCAGGGAUAAGAGCAAGAAUGUUCUAUAUAUCAUUUUUUUUUAAUUUAGAGAGGGGGAGGGUAGCAGAAUUGGUAGGUUUGGAAGUUCGUGUGACAGCAUACACUUUUAACUUUUACUGUAUGUAAUGUUUUGCAUAUUGUGUAUAUUUCUUAGGUAUACUAUGUUCACUAAACUGUUGGUUUCUUUUACUCACUGCUCCUUAAAUUAUGUAAUAACAGGUUUUCUUUUUUAAAAAACUGUAGCUAUAUUCAGUCAUUCCAUUUGAUUAGCUUUUUAUUCAGCUUGUUAAAAAAUAUAUAUUAAAUGCCUCCUGUACCAUGGAUACUGUACAUUUAGUUACACAUGCGGUAGUUUCUAGGUUUUCCCCAAGAGAUCAGUAAGCUAGGGGAAGUAUAAUAGUUAAGUGCAAGGUACAUAAGAAGUUUACCUAACAGUAUAGGGGAUAAUGAAGCCAAGAUAGGAGGGGAGAGGAGGACUUUACAACAUUGAACCUCAGGGGAAUUUCAUCAUCAAAGUUGUGCUCUAAGGCAGAACCCAUCUUUGAGGCCAAGUAACUGAUCUAACAUUGGUAGAUCUUGUUCUCUAAAAGACUUUUGGUAUUGUCGCAAUGGACUUAUCACCGUAUAUAUAUCUCCACCAACAGGAUUAAAUUCUAAUUAUUAAAAGGUCCUAAGGGACCUCCUUUUGUCUGUUAGGUGUUCUUGCUAAAAUUAUUGUAAUUCUGGGUCAGAAAUCAUGUCAGUCAUAAAUGCAGUCUUUUUCAUGAUGUCUCUAGAUAAAGUUUUGUCCAUUAUUUUUUCAUGUUAAAUUGUUGAUCAUCAUCCAUUACUUUUCUCUGCAAUUCAUGAUACCUUGGCAGCCUGUUAUAAUUUCCAGUUUAUUUGCACUUUGUAGAAGCUUAAAAAUAUGUUGAAGGUAAUGUUAAGUGUCUAACUUAAGUUCUGCUUGCAAGGGGGUUCCUUUGAUCCACAAUGUUCCCUCUGAUGUUAGACCAAAUAUAGUGAACCCAAGUCCAAGGGGUCAGUAUAUCUUUUAGUAAUUUUAGUGACUCAUCUAUAAUUGGUAGUUUGAUACUUUUGGCACAAUUAUUUUCUAGUUAAGAGAUUAUAUGGUAUAUCUAUCAAUACCUGGGAUUGAACAAUUGGCAUAUCAUAUACAAGCAUUGUACCCUAGGUCUGAAAUUAUAAUGUAGGAUAUAGACAUACUGCUUUUAACAGGUUGUGUGAACCUCUUUAAAAUCAAUGAAUUUCUGACAGAGUCAUGGAGCUCAAAGGUAUAUUGUAGAAUUUGUAGGAGUCUGCUAAGAAUUAACCCAUGGGAAUCAGGUUAGUUUGGAAUAAUGUAAGGUGGCCUGCUAUCUUCAUUGGUGUAUUUUCCUAUAACCCCUGAUUGAUGGGCAGCCUAAUGGCAAUUUGGUUGUUGCUGAUAAUAUAAGCUCUUUGCUGAUAACAUAUAAGGAUUUUUUUGUCUUUGUAGACCAAGGCUUUUUGUUCUUUUAGGAUGCUGUAAUUCUCUUAAAACUGCCUGACACUUAGUAAGUAUUCAUUAAAUGUGGAAUAAAUAUUGGUAUGGAUAUAAUACCAAUAUAUACACAGUACUAUAUGUGUCAUCCCCUCAGUGCAGUGUUUUACACAUUAUGUUUUUAUGUAUUUUGUAGUUAUUUUGGGGUACUUAUCCUAGUAAUUCUGUAUGAUAAUUUGCAUAGAAUUACUUUUUGAAAAUGUUCCAGGAGUCCCAACCAUCGUGGCUCAGUGGUUAAUGAACAGACUAGCAUCCAUGAGGACAAAGGUUCGAUCCCUGGCCUCCACAGUGGGUUAAGGAUCUGGGGUUGCCGUGAGCUGUGGUGUAGGUCGCAGACGUGGCUUGGAUCUCGUAGUGCUGUGGCUCUGGUGUAGGCAGGCAGCCACAGCUCCAAAUGGACCCCUAGCCUGGGAACCUCCAUAUGCUGGGGGUGUGGUCCAAAAAGACAAAAAG
This 3572-nucleotide long non-coding RNA is filed under the name Sus scrofa (pig). Its description in RNAcentral is "lncRNA (ENSSSCG00030057981.1)". Lineage: Eukaryota; Metazoa; Chordata; Mammalia; Artiodactyla; Suidae. The record is from RNAcentral.